Molecule: transfer RNA, 72 nt
Filed under: Candidatus Jorgensenbacteria bacterium CG_4_9_14_3_um_filter_38_10
Lineage: Bacteria; Candidatus Joergenseniibacteriota
Also listed under: 2 other names
Description: tRNA-Ala
Rfam family: tRNA
About the family: Transfer RNA (tRNA) molecules are approximately 80 nucleotides in length. Their secondary structure includes four short double-helical elements and three loops (D, anti-codon, and T loops).
Source: RNAcentral
GGGCCCGUAGUUCAGUGGUAGAACGCCGCUUUUGCAAAGCGGAGGUCAGGAGUCCAAUUCUCCUCGGGUCCA